Molecule: ribosomal RNA, 437 nt
Filed under: uncultured bacterium
Lineage: Bacteria
Description: bacterial SSU rRNA
Rfam family: Bacterial small subunit ribosomal RNA
Source: RNAcentral
ACCGAAUAGAUACCCGGGUAGUCCACGCCCUAAACGAUGCGAACUGGAUGUUGGGUACAUUACGGUACUCAGUGUCGAAAGCUAAACGCGUUAAGUUCGCCGCCUGGGGAGUACGGUCGCAAGACUGAAACUCAAAGGAAUUGACGGGGGCCCGGCACAAGCGGUGGAGUAUGUGGUUUAAGUUUACGAUGCAACGACGAAGAAACCUUACCCUUGGCCGUUGUACAUCUGUCGAAUCCUGCAGAGAUGCGGGAGUGCCGCAAGGAACGACAAGACAGGUGCUGCAUGGCUGUCGUCAGCUCGUGUCGUGAGAUGUUGGGUUAAGUCCCGCAACGAGCGCAACCCUUGUCCCUAGUUGCCAGCACGUAAUGGUGGGAACUCUAGGGAGACUGCCGGUGACAAACCGGAGGAAGGUGGGGAUGACGUCAAGUCCUCAU